RNAcentral lists this long non-coding RNA (1349 nucleotides) under Olea europaea subsp. europaea. The record is from RNAcentral. Lineage: Eukaryota; Viridiplantae; Streptophyta; Magnoliopsida; Lamiales; Oleaceae.
GGUGAUUUUGUGUAAGUAAUAAUGUUGAAUUUUGAAUUUGUAGAAUUUCAGAGGAAAAUUAAACCUGCAUUGAAUGAAGAUUACAUCGAAUUAUAUAAAUCGUGUCCACCAGUAUUUGCAUCACUUCAUUUUCUGACGUGUUAUCAACAAGGCCAAUUCUGCCUUUGCCUUUAUAACUAAUUGUUAUCUUUCUUUCCCUCAAUUGAAUACAAUUAAAUGGCUCUUGCUUAAAGCUAAACCUAAAACCUCUGUCAUACAAAACAAAUUUCAUCUAAUAAACUCAACUACUCUACAAGGAAAAAGUAGGAAAUGAAGUUGCAGGGGAUAUAAAUGAGACGAUAAAAGUCUAAUCUUGAGGGUAUUAUUUGAAAGGGUACAAUUGAAGUAGAAUACUGAUAUGCUCCAAUCUACCUCACAUAAUCUAGAAGGAUACAGAAGAAGAAUAACCUGCAAAUGGUGGAAAACUAAAGUCUAUUAGAGGGUAAAAUUAUUUGGGGAAGAGUAGUUACAAGUAUGCUAUAAAUAUAUGCAGAUGAUAGCCAAAUAGAGGAGAUAUGGAGAAGGAUCUAGGGGAGAGAAUUGGCCUCUCGAAUGCCAAAUACUUAUUAUUUCUUUUGCAUUAGAGUUGGAAUGCAUUUCAUCAAUCUUAUAUAUUUGUAUUAUCUUUCUAUUACAAUGUAUUUGAAUUUACAGCACUUCAGAUUAUAGAAUACAUAUUACAAUUCUGUCAGAUUCUUCUUGUUCUAUUUAUGUCCUCUUUUUGCCCUUGAUUCUGUGUAUCGAACAGCUACUGUUGCAGGAUCCUAUCAAAUAUAUACCAGUAAAAUUUUCCUAAAACAAAUGUACGGGAAGCAUCCAUGAGAAAAUCAUCAUUUCAAAUAUUAAAAUGCCAACCUAGAGAUAGUAACCUAACUAAAUGUAUUGAUAUCAGACUCAUAUGUGUCAUGAAGUACGAGCUAACUUGUGUAAAUUAAGACAAGUCUUAACCACUCAUUCUAAUAGAUAUACCAUGUCCAAAUGAAUGCCCCCUGAGAACCCUCAACAUUUUUCUAUAAACAAAUGCUAGUUAACAAUUGGGAGCAAUUGUUAGCAUAAGUUAUAGAUGUUAAUAUGAGUUUUAAAAGUAUAGUUCUACUCACAAUACCUCAUCAUUUGUGACUAAAUGAAUAUAAUAUAUUGACAUUUGGCACUUGAACAAUUUUUUAAUAAAUGCUCAGAAUGCUUAUUAACAUGACUUGUAGGUUCUACAUUGUGAUUGAAACGUACUUGGUUCAUUUUUUGGAAAAAUUGUCUUGCACUAAACCGGAAAAAGUUACAUAGUAUUAUAGGAAAAGGGAACAACUAUUUUN